RNAcentral lists this long non-coding RNA (1248 nucleotides) under Sus scrofa (pig). RNAcentral describes it as "lncRNA (ENSSSCG00070018222.1)". The record is from RNAcentral. Lineage: Eukaryota; Metazoa; Chordata; Mammalia; Artiodactyla; Suidae.
AUUGAUUAUACAUAUAUAUGUAUAUAUUUAAUAUGUUAACUACUUUGGUCACUUUAACUGGAGAGUAAAGUGAGGUGCAGUGAUUAUGAUGGAGCAUGAUAAUGUGAGAAAAAGAAUGUAUACAAGCAUGUGUGACUGGGUCACCUUGCUGUACAGUAGAAAAUUGACAGAACACUAUAAACCAGCUAUAAUGGAAAAAAUAAAAAAAUAAAAAGAUACUGUUGAAGCAAAAAAAACCCCAAAAAACAAAAACAAUAACAGCAGGGUCAGGCAAGCUGUAGAAUUUUCGCUGCCAUGGGGCCGAGGGCUCAGCCUGGCACUGGUGCGCCUGGAAGUAGACUCGAGUUAUGUUUAAUCCCUGUGGAUUUAACCGUCAUUUAAUCCCUUUAUUGAUAUCCCCACUUAAGGGAUGGGGACACUUAGGCACAAGAGGGUAUGCAAAUUUCCCAAAUCACCCACAGCCAGGAUUCAAACCCAGGCAGCUGAGCAAGCUGACAGCAGGAAGACCCUUUUCCUUUGAAUGGGAGCGAUCCUGGGAGGCGGACAGGGAGUAUUUAUAGCUGUGAGUAUUUAUAGCUGUGAGAACUUGCACCCCAUGGGCCCCAUUGCCCUACCCAGGGGUGUGCCCAAUUCCUGCCAGCAAAAGCCCUCCAUUUGGAAUCUGCCGGAAGCUUCUGAAACAACAGCAUGCAUUUCUGACCUGUCUGCAAGUCCCACAUUCUCAAUGGGGGAAGAAGGGGGCUUUUUGGUGGAUUUUAACUUUGGCCAGUGCAAAGGGAGAGCUCUUUGUUAUAGACAGACUCCUGAAUGAUAACCAAGAAAGAGACUGAUGAGGAUUUUAAGAAUGUACUCUGCUGUGUGAGUUUAGGCAAAAUGCUUACCCUCUCUGUGUCUCCAUUUUCUCAUGUCUAAAGGUAAAGUAAUUCUCCAAAUUCUGCCAAUCUUUCCAGAACAUGAUGUCAACCAUUGAGCAACUAUGGCAGCCACAUAGAUCUGAUUCAGUAAACCAGCCACCCCCUCCCCAGGGACCACAGUUUACAGAUCUUCUAGAGGUUUCUGAAGAUUCUUUUACUCCGACUUCAGUGAGCUGGAGGAAACCUCGAAUGGCCACAUCGGACAUUACUGUCAGUACUACUGUUACUUGGGAUGACUUGGGGACCCCAAAGUCACCCCUUGGUGCCGCCACUGGGGUAUUUAUUUAUUCCGGACGGUUGCCGGGCUGUGCAGUCCCCCGGGCGCGGGCGGGUG